RNAcentral lists this ribosomal RNA (806 nucleotides) under uncultured marine bacterium. Its description in RNAcentral is "bacterial SSU rRNA". It matches the Rfam family "Bacterial small subunit ribosomal RNA", at positions 57 to 859 of the family's 1533-position model. The record is from RNAcentral.
GCAAGUCGUGCGAGAAAGUUCUUCGGAUAUGAGUAGAGCGGCGGACGGGUGAGUAACGCGUAGGAAUCUACCUAGUAGAAGGGGAUAGCCCGGGGAAACCCGGAUUAAUACCGUAUACCUCCUUCGGGAGAAAGAAGGCCUCUCUUUGAAGCUUUCGCUACUAGAUGAGCCUGCGUAAGAUUAGCUUGUUGGUGAGGUAAAGGCUCACCAAGGCUACGAUCUUUAGCUGGUCUGAGAGGACGAUCAGCCACAUUGGGACUGAGACACGGCCCAGACUCCUACGGGAGGCAGCAGUGGGGAAUAUUGGACAAUGGGCGCAAGCCUGAUCCAGCCAUACCGCGUGUGUGAAGAAGGCCUUCGGGUUGUAAAGCACUUUAAGCAGGGAGAAAAAGUUAUAAGUUAAUACCUUAUAACCUUGAUGUUACCUGCAGAAUAAGCACCGGCUAAUUCCGUGCCAGCAGCCGCGGUAACACGGAAGGUGCAAGCGUUAAUCGGAAUUACUGGGCGUAAAGCGCGCGUAGGUGGUUUGUUAAGUUGGAUGUGAAAGCCCUGGGCUCAACCUAGGAACUGCAUCCAAAACUAACUCACUAGAGUACGAUAGAGGGAGGUAGAAUUCAUAGUGUAGCGGUGGAAUGCAUAGAUAUUAUGAAGAAUACCAGUGGCGAAGGCGGCCUCCUGGAUCUGUACUGACACUGAGGUGCGAAAGCGUGGGUAGCGAACAGGAUUAGAUACCCUGGUAGUCCACGCCGUAAACGAUGACAACUAGCUGUUGGAAGACAACGUCUUUCAGUGGCGCAGCUAACGUU